Molecule: long non-coding RNA, 2606 nt
Organism: Papaver somniferum (opium poppy)
Lineage: Eukaryota; Viridiplantae; Streptophyta; Magnoliopsida; Ranunculales; Papaveraceae
Exons: 3
Source: RefSeq, a predicted model, not a curated record
UCUUUUCUUUUUCUCCUCUCUCGUUCUUCUUUCUUCUUUUCUUCUUCUCUUUUCUUUUCCGGCGAUUCUGAGAAUCAAUUUAAGGGAAUCGAUCGAUGAUGUUGUUAGUAUAUAAUCAGAGAAGGUUUGGUGGUGUUCAUGUUGGUUAAUCAUGAGAAGAAGAGGAGAUGACGAUCUGUAGAGAAACCAGAUAGUUCAAGCCAUAGAAGAAUUGAUUAAUUGAAGGAGGAUUUGAUUAGUUGGUGAUGAAGAACAAAAGGGGUUAGUGUUUAAUUGAAGUUCUGAAGAUGAUUCAGUGAUGAAUUGGUAAGUUAGAGUUUCAUGAGGAGAUAUCUGAGAAGAUUUAGAAAGGGAAUAUGAUGAUAUAGAUAGAUGAUUAGAAGUGGGUUUGGUCGAUUGAGAAACGGGGUGAAGUUAAUUAGAUGUUGGGGAUGUUCUGAGGAAGAAUUGGAGAAUUAGGGUGUGUUUUUGAGAUGAAGAUAUCCAGAAAAGGUUGAAGAAUCAGUUGAGAUAUUGAUGGGUUAUGGUGGCAGUGUUAACUCAAGUGUUGAUUCAACUCAGAUUGAUGAACAUAAGAUGAAUUAGGGGUUUAGAAGAAUUGUUUGAUGAAUCAACAAUUCAGAAGGUGUUAUUGCUUGGGUAAGCUUUUAAUUUCUUAACCUUGAUAUUUGGAGUUGAAUUGCUGCGAUUCAUUUGAGUUUAUAUGUUUGUGUUUUAACUGAGGUUGAGGUGAUCAAACAAUGAAACUGUGGAGGUAGUUAAAAGUGGUUUUUCUAGUGAAAGGAUUUUUGAGUUUGAGUUAUUGUCUAAGAUGAUUUUUGUUUGAUGGAAAUUGCAGAUGGAGCUAUUGGUGUUGUAGCUACUAUUAUGUGGAUGGAUAGUUGGAUGGGUAUGUCUGUGGUAUAAUUGAAUUCGUAGUGCUUGUAUAAAUUAGUUGUGCAAACUGAAGUAAGAAGUGACUAAGUAUGAGAUUCACAUGAAUCAAAGAAGUAUUGUGUUAUGUGAAUUGGUUUGAGUUGAACUGUUAUUACUCAGACUAGCAGAGAUUGUAGAAAAUGUAAUUGUAGAAGGAUGUUAACUUGAGCUGUAAUUGUAGGUGGUAUGAGGAUUGAAUUAAAAUGCUAUAUAUGGUGAAUGAUGUGUAUUGAUAGAGUUGUAACUGCAGAACAGAAGUAGAUGUGGUGAUGUUGAGUUGGUUAUGGUGUCAGUCGAGCUGUAAAAUGAAUUAGCUGUUACGGUGAUGAAGGAGGCUGAGUCUAAUUGAACUGGUAAUGCUGAGAUUAGGUUGUGUGUUUGAGUUGGUAAUAUGGAGAAAGGUUAGAGUGGUAAAUAUUUGGUUCCAUUUAGGAGUAGAAUCCGUGGAGGCUUGCUGUUGCAGGUAAGCUGAAUUUUCGAUAGUGAUUAAAUUAUGAAGUUUAUUUAGAAAGAAUAAUUGAAUUUCUUUUGAGUUGUUAAGAAGAUGAUGUUAUGUGACUGAGUUUUAGGAAUGAAGAUUUGAUGAGUGAGUAUGGAGUUGAAUCUCUCUUGUAAAAUCUUAGAGCUGCAACUGCAGUUAGUCUAUAUUAACAACGACCAAUACAAAGGAUGAACCGGUGGAUCGUGGAUCUCGAGGUAGGCGUGGCUUGUCAUCCAAAGAGAAGAUGGAUGGUCACGGUAGACGUAAUACUGAAGACCAUGGUUGUGGUAGAGGUCGCAGCCGACGUCGUGGACGAAGGAGUGAGGAUUUAGUUGAGGAUUCUUUGGCAGAAAGUAACUCACGCAAUGUUGAUAGUAGAUCUCAAUCUCGUAGGACUAGGUCCACUGGUAGCUCUCGAUCUCGUAGGACUAGGUCCACUAAUGGCUCUCGAUCUGUUCAUACCGAAGGAAAAGAGGGUGGUCCUAAUGCCUUAACGUUAGAGAAUCUUCAGAAAAUGUUGAAUACAGCGAUCACAGCGGCAUUAAAUCAGAAGCUUGGUCCGCGUGGAGGUAUGGAAUAUGUGGCAUCCCCAGAAAUAAAUGGACCUGCAAUUAUAGAGAGAAACACGAAGCCUUGGGUAUAGUAUCACCAAGAUUUUCUAAAGAUGAAACCCAUUUGUUCAGAAGAAAGGGAGGUGCAACUGAAGCACAUUAGUGGUGCACAAAAAUGGAUAGGAUACUAGCUCAGUUUGAUUGUUCUGAGGAUUAUAAGCAGAGCACGACCGCUUUCCUAUUGGAGGGUAAUGCAAAAACUUGGUGGGAGUCGAUGGGAAGGACAAUUGAUGUGAUGGAGGUUACUUGUACAAGAUUCAAAGAUUUGUUCCUUAUACUCUCUUUUUUUCCCAGUCGAGCGCCAAUAUAUGAUUAGGCAGUUUGAAGAGCUGGUGCAAACGGAAGAUCAAAUAGAGGGUGGAUAUGAGUGUGAGUUUGACCGCUUAUCACUAUUUGUUGCUCAUCUUACAAUAUAUGCCAAUUGUUAGUACGAUUUAGGGAAAUUUAAAAUCAUACUCACUUAAGAAUGCGUAUAAUUUCAUACGCAUUUUCAGACCGAGUAUAACAUACUUAUUUUUGAAUCAUACAUAAAUAAUAUAGAAUGAGCCAGAACUCAUACACAUUGUCAAACAGGAAUGAGUAUGAGUUCUUAACUCGAA